GGUACUACAAGAUUCAGCUUCUCAAUAGAAAGACUCAAUUCUUGUUCUUCCGAUGAGUCUUUGUGGUCAUCACGAUCAUCUUUGAUGGUUAUGCUGCAACUCUUCUUCUCUGCUUCCAUUCUUGAUACUCACACUUAGUUUGAAUGAAUUUUGGUUAUGUUGAUUAUGAGAAAAUGGUUAGCCUUUACUUGCUUUAUAUAUAGUGGCAAAUGAGGGAGAUGGUGUAUGAAUAAAUUAAUUAAAAUAGAGGAUUAAAAGAUGAAAUUAACAGAUUAAGUGCAUUUGUGUAACUAGAAAUGGC
Molecule: long non-coding RNA, 301 nt
Filed under: Trifolium pratense (red clover)
Lineage: Eukaryota; Viridiplantae; Streptophyta; Magnoliopsida; Fabales; Fabaceae
Description: long non-coding RNA (TPRA_LNC012714)
Source: RNAcentral